This is a long non-coding RNA of Notolabrus celidotus (New Zealand spotty), 585 nucleotides long. RefSeq lists it as uncharacterized. The record is from RefSeq and is a predicted model, not a curated record. The transcript has 2 exons. NCBI's taxonomy places the organism in Eukaryota, Metazoa, Chordata, Actinopteri, Labriformes, Labridae.
CUUGUAUCUGUUUUCUGUCACAGGGACUCAUCAAGAACACUGGGCACCGAGGUCAGAGGAAAGAGGUGAUGCUCCGUGCAGCUAUAGUGGCUGUUAGAGCUGGCUUCAGGAAUCGUCAUCAUUGGGACUAUUGCUUUUGCUGUAGCUCUCCUUGUUGGGAUAUCGUAAAUCCAGAAAAGUAGCAUGUACAUAAAGGUUGUGCCUGUACCAGCAUUUGAAUCACAGUUGCUUUCAACAGAGUUGCUCUGUAUCAAUGCCAGUAUUGGUACCGGCCAACAAUACUGUGUAACAUAUCAUUUCUCACAUUUGCACACUAAGCGAAUGGAUAUUUUUAUAUAUGUCAAAGGUAACAAAAUGUGAGAUGGCAGUGUUUUUCCACCAAUGAUAAGUACCUUUUUUUUUUAUCAACUGUGGUAUCAAAGGGUACUUGGAAUCGGGGUGUGAAAAAAAGAGGUAUCUGAUCAGCUCCACUUUUCAAACAAACAUGUUCUAUGUAUAUUUUGCAACAAAUGUGUCAUUAUGAAUUUCUAACUUUUUUUUUAAUACAUUAUUAAAUUAUAUUAAAAUGCUAGUUGCUCAUGUAAA